GUGCUUGUUUCUGUGGUACAUACAAUAAUAUUUGAAUGAUACAGAAAAUAUUAGCAUGGCCCCUGCAUGAGGAUGGCAUACAAAUUCAUGAAGCCUUUCAUGUUUUU
RNAcentral lists this small nuclear RNA (107 nucleotides) under Dasypus novemcinctus (nine-banded armadillo). The record is from RNAcentral. Lineage: Eukaryota; Metazoa; Chordata; Mammalia; Cingulata; Dasypodidae.